This 1086-nucleotide ribosomal RNA is filed under the name Triticum aestivum (bread wheat). RNAcentral describes it as "partial small subunit ribosomal RNA". Lineage: Eukaryota; Viridiplantae; Streptophyta; Magnoliopsida; Poales; Poaceae. The record is from RNAcentral.
AUGUACCAGAGCAAGAAGCCAAGCGUAGCUGCCUCGGUGACGCCGCGAAACGAGGACGCCGACAACCUUGCCGAGCUCAUCCCCUCGCUGCCGGUCGAGAAGCGGUUCCUGCUGCCGUUCCCCGGCUCGCAGAGGCGGCAGUACCGCGGGUACUGGCUCCCGGAGAGCAACCUGCUGGCCCUGGCGGCAGCCCGCCGCCGCUUCGAGGCCAAGCCCACGGACGUCUUCCUGGUGAGCUGCCCCAAGUCCAGCACCACGUGGCUCUCGGCGCUCGCCUUCGCCACCGUGCACCGCGGCGCGCACCCGCCGUCCUCCCACGACCACCCGCUGCGCCGCCAAAGCCCGCACGCCUGCGUCCUGUCCGUCAAGACGCUGUUUCGGCAGCCGAACGACGUCGCGCGAGGCAUCCUCGAGUCCUGCCCGUCCCCGCGCAUCUUCUUCACCCACUUCCCGCUGUCCCUGCUGCCGGAGCGCAUCGCCGGCGACGGCUCCAGGUGCCGGAUCGUCUACAUCUGCCGGGACCCCAAGGACGUGGUGGUCUCCUGGUGGCGGUCCUUGCGCGCGUGCAUCCCGGACCCCGAGGGGGCUCGGUUCGACGAGGUCUUCGAUUUGUUCUGCCAGGGCCGCAACGGCGGGGGCCCUUACUGGCGCAAUGCACUCGAGCAUUGGGAGGAGAGCCGGAGAAGGCCACGCAAGGUGCUGUUCCUCAGGUAUGAGGAGAUGCUGCGAGACCCGCAGGGCAAUCUCAGGAGGCUGGCGGAGUUCCUGGGGUGCGCGUUCUCUGACGCGGAGGAGAAGGCCGGCGUCGUGGACGCCAUCUUGGAGCUCUGCGGCGUGGAGAAGCUAAACGAGCUUGAGGUGAACCAGAGUGGUGAAAAGACGGGGGAGCAGCGUGUCUCGGACGGUUCCUCCGUCAGGAAGGGGGUCGCCGGCGACCGGAGCAACCACAUGACGCCGGAGAUGGCGGCAAGGCGGCGGCAAGGCUCGAUAAGAUCGUCCAAGAGGCGCUGCAGGGAACCGGAUUUAGCUUUGACAUCCCCACGUCACAGUAAUCAUGUGUAUGUGCGCUUGUAUCACCAGGUCUAA